RNAcentral lists this ribosomal RNA (468 nucleotides) under uncultured bacterium. RNAcentral's name for it is "partial 16S ribosomal RNA". It matches the Rfam family "Bacterial small subunit ribosomal RNA", at positions 28 to 507 of the family's 1533-position model. The record is from RNAcentral.
GACGAACGCUGGCGGCGUGCUUAACACAUGCAAGUCGAACGGAAAGGCCCUGCUUUUGUGGGGUGCUCGAGUGGCGAACGGGUGAGUAACACGUGAGUAACCUGCCCUUGACUUUGGGAUAACUUCAGGAAACUGGGGCUAAUACCGGAUAGGAGCUCCUGCUGCAUGGUGGGGGUUGGAAAGUUUCGGCGGUUGGGGAUGGACUCGCGGCUUAUCAGCUUGUUGGUGGGGUAGUGGCUUACCAAGGCUUUGACGGGUAGCCGGCCUGAGAGGGUGACCGGCCACAUUGGGACUGAGAGACGGCCCAGACUCCUAGGGGAGGCAGCAGUGGGGAAUAUUGCACAAUGGGCGGAAGCCUGAUGCAGCAACGCCGCGUGCGGGAUGACGGCCUUCGGGUUGUAAACCGCUUUCGCCUGUGACGAAGCGUGAGUGACGGUAAUGGGUAAAGAAGCACCGGCUAACUACGUG